UACCUUUGUCAAAAACAAUAACUUUCUCGGUCCACUUGGGAGGCUAGACAAUGCUAUACCGUUUAAGAUAUACAAAGUCAUCCUGCUUGGAUAUAGCUAUAGAGUUUUUAUUCAAUUGCAAAAAUCUAUGCACAUGCUAAGAUUGAGGAUUAUCCAAAUGUUAGCAACCAUAUUUUCAUUAGAGGAGGAAAAUACAUUUACGUUUUGAAGACCCCGAAGCGAGGCCCAUAUGUCGGGCUCUCCUCUGUGCUGAUAGCCCAAAUAAAGGCUUUUACAGCGAAGCCGGGCGGGGGCCUUGGAGGCCGAAAAUGUCGCUCACAGGCGCUGGGCGUCUCGAAGUGUUAGUGUGCGUGAAUUGUUCAAAAUAGAGAAUCUACCGUAUGUUCGGAAAAAGUAGAGCUCGUGAGAAGAACAUACAAAAAAAUCAACUGCUCUCUCUCGGUUACCUACUAGGCAGCAACACAGCUUCGAUGUACAAUAGUGUUCUUGAAAUGGCGCCGAGAAUAUUUAACAUACCUACACAUAUCACAGAACUUAAGUUGACGUGUUUUAAAAAGAAACUAUUUAAUGUGCUAGUGACAAAAUCGUACUAUUCCAAGACUUCUUUUCAGAUACAACACUCAAUUAACAUUUUUUUAAAUAUCAUUUUACUUAAUUUAAUUUCUUUUUACCAAUUUCACUUGUUACCUAUAUGUUAUUUCUAAAUACCUAUUCAAUUAUUGAUAUGUAUAUCAAUGAACUGCCGUUGUGUAUAUAUAUAUAUAUAUAUAUAUUUGUUUGACUUGUUAUUAAUUACUAUUUGUACGCCACAGCAUGCGGGCAAGGAAUGGAGAACUUUUAUUGUGAUUUGAAACAUCUAUGUAUACCCAUGACUACAAAUAAAUGAUCUUAUCUUAUCUUAGGUAUUUCCUCAUAGAAAUCAAACUUCAUAUUAUUUAGUCUGGUAGGUAGGUAGGUACGUGCGAUAUUAAACCGUCAUGCUUGUUAAUUUUAUAAUUAUAGCUUGCACCAGUCAGGUUAUUACUAAGUAGGUACGGAGUAUUCUAAGUAGGUAGGUAUGCCAACUACUUUAUGAAGCACAUUAUUGUAACAAUACUAAUUUUAUCUUAAUUCAUUUACCCACCGAUUUUUGUUAAUAUAAUAUAA
Leptidea sinapis is the source of this 1146-nucleotide long non-coding RNA. RefSeq lists it as uncharacterized. The transcript has 4 exons. NCBI's taxonomy places the organism in Eukaryota, Metazoa, Arthropoda, Insecta, Lepidoptera, Pieridae. The record is from RefSeq and is a predicted model, not a curated record.